CUUUCUCCCUUGUAAUAAAGUGGGCACAUACAGAGAGCACAAAGAGGAAAGUUAAAGCGCAGCCAAACAGCAUUACAUCAGCGGAGCUGCAGACUGUCUGGGCAGAGCAGAGCAAUUGCAGGUGUGAUGCUGUGCUGGGGGAUUAACCUGUUAGCAGCUGGUUUUCUCCAGCAGCAAGGAAAUAAACGACGAAAUCUCAUAGCCGAGGAACUCAGCUAAGGGGAGCUGUUCUGAAUUUCAGUGAGGUCUCUCCAGAGUAAUUCCCUGCUGAACACUGAAAAACCAAGCAUGGUGUCCACGGUGAGCUCCAGCCUCAUCUUGCUUUUCUGGAGUUCACAAGGAUGGACAUAGUAAACAUCUUUAUGAGGUUUCAGCUGAAGUAUUUCAACUGGGUAGAAGUCUCAAAUUUGAAGAAACAAAUGAAUCAAGUCCCAGAAGAAACGACUUGUUAG
This 452-nucleotide long non-coding RNA is filed under the name Zonotrichia albicollis (white-throated sparrow). RNAcentral's name for it is "lncRNA (ENSZALG00000011088.1)". Lineage: Eukaryota; Metazoa; Chordata; Aves; Passeriformes; Passerellidae. The record is from RNAcentral.